CCGACCAUUACACGUUGGAAAACAUCCGGUUCUCGUCUGAUCACCGAAGUUAAGCAACGUCGGGAAGCGUUAAGUACUUGCAGUUCCAGGCAAAGAAUUUCAACCUCUCAAGGUCGACGUUUUC
Molecule: ribosomal RNA, 124 nt
Filed under: Fasciola gigantica
Lineage: Eukaryota; Metazoa; Platyhelminthes; Trematoda; Plagiorchiida; Fasciolidae
Source: RNAcentral